GUAGUCCUAGCCCUAAACGAUGAUUGCUUGGUGUGUCGGGUACCCAAUCCCGCCGUGCCGAAGCUAACGCGAUAAGCAAUCCGCCUGGGGAGUACGGUCGCAAGACUGAAACUCAAAGGAAUUGACGGGGGCCCGCACAAGCGGUGGAGCAUGUGGUUCAAUUCGACGCAACGCGAAGAACCUUACCUGGGCUCGAAAUGUAGUGGACCGGGGUGGAAACAUCCCUUCCCGCAAGGGCUGCUAUAUAGGUGCUGCAUGGCUGUCGUCAGCUCGUGUCGUGAGAUGUUGGGUUAAGUCCCGCAACGAGCGCAACCCUUAUUGUCAGUUGCCAUCAUUUAGUUGGGCACUCUGGCGAAACCGCCUCGGAUAACGGGGA
RNAcentral lists this ribosomal RNA (376 nucleotides) under uncultured bacterium. Its description in RNAcentral is "bacterial SSU rRNA". It matches the Rfam family "Bacterial small subunit ribosomal RNA", at positions 790 to 1167 of the family's 1533-position model. The record is from RNAcentral.